Molecule: long non-coding RNA, 289 nt
Organism: Capsicum annuum
Lineage: Eukaryota; Viridiplantae; Streptophyta; Magnoliopsida; Solanales; Solanaceae
Exons: 3
Source: RefSeq, a predicted model, not a curated record
ACAACAUCAGCUGCCGUGAUAAUCCUUGAUUGGAACUUGGGAUCUUGCUUGUAUGGUUUUAAGCUUCUGAAAAGUCGAGUCAUCGUACUUUUUGUUGCCGGUACAUCUCGGGUGUUCCUGAUCUGUUUUGGAGUUCAUUACUGGUACUUUGGACAUUGUAUCAGUUAUGCAGUUGUAGCAUCUGUGCUGUUGGGUGCUGCUGUUUUACGGCAUUUAUCAGUUACAGACCCAUUAGCAGCUAGACGAGAUGCCUUGCAGAGCACAGUUAUCCGCCUUAGAGAAGGUUUCC